Molecule: long non-coding RNA, 87 nt
Organism: Cervus elaphus (red deer)
Lineage: Eukaryota; Metazoa; Chordata; Mammalia; Artiodactyla; Cervidae
Exons: 3
Source: RefSeq, a predicted model, not a curated record
GUUGGGACUGGGGUUCACUGCUCUUCCUAUCUUUCAAGUUUCCUGGCCGUCAGAAGAUCCACAUCUCCAAGAAGUGGGGAUUUACCA